Molecule: unclassified non-coding RNA, 489 nt
Filed under: Microcystis aeruginosa
Lineage: Bacteria; Bacillati; Cyanobacteriota; Cyanophyceae; Chroococcales; Microcystaceae
Description: partial contains 16S ribosomal RNA, 16S-23S ribosomal RNA intergenic spacer, and 23S ribosomal RNA
Rfam family: Bacterial small subunit ribosomal RNA (bases 1-100)
Source: RNAcentral
CUCAACCGCAAGGAGGGGGAUGCCUAAGGCAGGGCUAGUGACUGGGGUGAAGUCGUAACAAGGUAGCCGUACCGGAAGGUGUGGCUGGAUCACCUCCUUAAAGGGAGACCUAAUUCAGGUAGGAGACGAAAAAAAAGUAGUCGCUACCAAGAAUCAAUCCCAAAAGGUCGGAGCGAGGCGAAAUUGGCUUUCAAACUAGGUUCUGGGUUCACACAAGACCUGAAUCAGGAACAAGGGCUAUUAGCUCAGGUGGUUAGAGCGCACCCCUGAUAAGGGUGAGGUCCCUGGUUCGAGUCCAGGAUGGCCCACCUGUACAGGUGGCAAAAAGAAAGAAAAGAAGCGAGGAAUCAGCACCUUAUCUUAUUUAUAUAGUAAGAGAGAAUGCUGGCUCUGAGUUCAGAGUCCAGAGGAACCUUGAAAACUGCAUAGAGCUAGGUGAAAAAGCCAAAAAAGAAGACCGCAAGGUCAAGCUAAUAAGGGCUAACGGUG